UUCUGCGAUUCCCUCCGGGAUCAAACGAUCUCUGCAAAGCUUUGAGUUCGUCGUCAGCUCCGGUAAAGACGGUCGCUUUUAUAUAGUAAAGAUCCUUUAAUUAGGCUUUUUAAUGGGCCGUGACUUUAUUGGGCUUACUGUACAUGCUAGUCUAUAAAACGAAACACACUUUGUCAUCUAUAAACAAAACAUCAAAGAUGAGAAAAUAAGGCCAGUGAGUCUAAAGCAUUUUUCUUAAUGGGCCUAUUUAUUUGCAGCAUGAUUUUUGUUUUUCUGUUAGCCUGGUAUAUAUUUUAUUUGCAAAUGUAAUGUUUUUUGUAAAUAUCCUAGCUAUUUAAUUAAUAUAACGAGAAUUUUGUACUCGACUAAAAAACUGAAAAACUUAAAACUUUUGGGGAAGAGUAGUAGUUAAUUAUAAUUUAAUCCUACUAUAUAAAAGGAGCUAUUUUUGGAGCUUCUAAGGGGUGCCAUGUCAGAUGAAAUAUUCCUGGCCAAUUAAAAUGACAGGUCAUCGCGGACUGGGCUUGGAAUACAAAAAUUAUUCCAAAAAUUAAGUUAGUCUUCGCAGCCCAUUAAAACCUUUUGGCAGCCCAACCUAAAAUCUAAUGGUUUUGGUGGUUCCCACUUAGACCAGAAAUAUUCAGUCUUCGUACAUUGGUUUAGACUAAAUUAAUUUUGUUGUGGCCCGUAAUAUAUGUUUUACUACUGUUCCUGUUAAGAAAUUCAAUUCAGCCCAAAAUCCAUAGUGAAGCCCUUCAUCACCUUAAGUUUUCUGGUAAGUAAACCAAACUCUGCGUUUAGGAUUAGGUCGAUUGUGGUUUGAAGUAGUAUUCAUCUUCGACGGUUGACCAACACUGUCUCCGCCGUUGUUUGGAAAGUCAAUUUUCCUCUCACCUUUCUACCUCCCGUUUCUCUUCAUUUCCUUCUCUUUUGGCCACUCCCUUGAACUUUACUCUCUUACCAUAUGCAAUGAAUUUUGAGUUCACAUUAAAAUCCGUAACUCCUACGAACUCUCUGUUUCCCUUACUUUACUAUCAACGCUUGAUGCGUAUCAAAACCAAAGAAGACAUCAAACCGUAGAAAUACGAGAGGCUUGAGACUGGAAUCAAGCUUCACACACAAGCUCUCUAAGUUUAUCCUCCCCCGAAAACCUAGAACCCUCAUUCCAAAUGUCUUACUCUGGUGCUGCUGCUGUCGAUGAGCCGCCCUCCCCUCCACCUUUGACGAGAGCUAGGUCGUACAACCGCCUCCUCCUUUUCUGGAUUCGUGGAACAUCAAUAAAAGCGGUGAAUGUAUGGGAAUCACCCUCCUCUUCCUUGAUUAUCAACAUCUCCUCUUCCUUGAUGAAAAUGUAUCAACAUCUUUACUUUCUCUGGACUACUAUAUACUAUAUUUGUUUAAUCAAUAUUCAAGCUACUCUGUGAUCCACGGUUUCAUCCCAGCUGGUGGUGUGAAUCACUACCGUCCAUCCAUCGCUACGAGAGGGGUCGAUCGUGAAAGUUGAUCUCUUUUAAAUCGGCUGAUGCACUAAUAUGUACAAGAUCACGGAUCAUCCUUUCGUCAUCUGUAUCAUUCCCCCAACAACUAUUGAUGAAUUUGCCAUGAUUUCAACUGUUAUCAAUCUCCAGAAAUUCAUCCUUUGAAAGUUCGACCAUCUCCAAGCUCUUGCAAACACUAACUUAUAGCCUCCGGUAUAGUUUUCAAUAGAGUUUUGCAUGUUAAAUUUCAACCACAAUCUACAUAUACUAUGUUUUCAUUAUUAAAAAAUGCUUUCAUUUUCAGAUGUGUUUGGACAAAUCCGUAUUGUUCAAGGCUCUGACCUGAACAACUUACGAAAUGAGGUCUGUCUCCUAAUUGACCCAUAAGUCAUGAACUUACGUACUAAUAUUUUAAAAUGCUUAGCUCAUUGUUUUUUUUUAAACUAAAAUAUUCUCCCAUUCCAGUUCCGUUGUUGUACUUGUGUCAUGGAACUCGCGUUGAUUCCAUAGAAGGUAUUAAAAAGAAGGAACUAAUGUCAAUAGGAGAUCUUCACACUUUCAUCUUCAACUCCAACUCCAAUGGGCAGCAGGUAACACUCCGUCUUUAAACAUACUUUAGUACUCUUAUGUGGUUCCAAAAUAGUAUCAACUAAUGUUAGUGAUGUUGUCAUCCUCAAGAAGCUGAUUUUAUUUGCAAGGUUCAGAUUGUUGGUGUCCUCCAACAAAAUGGCUGGGCGUUUAUUUCUUGCACCAGUUGCAGCAGGAAGCUUACAAAAUCUGGCACUUUCUUCCGUUGCAACAGGUGUGUUUCUUCCAACGUGACCGGACAUCAGAGUAGCAGCAGCGACCCAGCUCCAGUCAUGGAUAUGGAAUCUGGACAAGCAACAGAAUCUGCCAGCAACCUGGGUGAUGUGCCAAAGAUUCCACUGGGAGUUGCUGAAGCAAGCCUGAUAGGUUCUGCUGGUGACGAGAACACCCGCAAACGCCUCCUUGAUUGAUUGUCGCAAGGUCAUCUAACCGUCAACUCCACUUAGAUUUCGUUUCAUUUUAAUUUUCUACUUCCGUGUUUUUUCAACUUUGAGCUUUAGUUCUCUUUGAUUUGCUGCAAACUAUUUUUUACUGGUAUAAGAAUUACUACAACUUUAAAUAAUAAAGAAAGAGUCUACGUGUCUUUGCUUAUUUACCAAUGUCCCCAACUUUAUAAAUCAGUAAAGUUGCACAAUGCUAAACGGCCUUUUGUAAUUGCUGUAGUUUUAAUUACUAACUCUACAAUGGACUUUUAAAAUAACCUUACUCACACCCAAAAACACCACCAAAUCAAUAAACGAACUAUAGCACAUAUAAAACCCCUAAUGAAAAUACUAAAACUAAUUCAGAGAAACAUCAAACGUAUAAUCACCCAUAUGAAAAGCAUAAUAUACAAUUUUUCCCACAGCUACUGCACAAUUUUAGUGACAGGUUCACAAACUGCGGCAAAUCCUAGACAACUUACGGUAACGUCAACAACCCGCGCUUGCGCGGAGCUCCGGCCCUAGUUAAUAUAACGAGAAUUUUGUACUUGACUAAAAAACUGAAAAAGUCGGAACUUUUGGGGAAGAUAAUUAUAUAGAUCAAACUAGUAACUAAUAAAUAAGUUAAGUUGGUCUUAUUGAAGGCUGUAUUCUGAUUCUGAUUGAAGGAUGUAUUCUGAUUCGACCAUAAGGUUAAGAUCGACAUAACAAGUAGUGUCGUAUCUAUAUUAGGACAAAAACAACAGCAUCUACUUAAUUAUUAGUUAGUUGCUUGCCGGUGACGACCCUCUUUCCAUUAUAUACAUGAUAAUGGACGACCUUAUAUAAUAAUAUAUCAUGACCCUCUUUGAACUGUAUUACAGAAUAAUGGAAGACCUUAUAUGUAAUACUAGUAUGUAUCAAAACGGUGUAAUUUCAAUAAGUAACAAUUAAUAUUGUGGGGGAAGAGAUUUAAGGACCGACAAGAGAAAUAAGUGGAGGGAGAUACGAGAAGAAUGGUUGGCACUGAAGUGGAGUUGGGUACGAAAAGGGUACGUUUGAUCUGUACAUAUUCAAUACCACAUGUCAUCCAUAAAACGAUCAUUUAUAAGAUUUUGCUUCGUAUGGCUCCUUUAAGAUCAAUUAUUACUAUCCCUUUCUUAUUAUUUGAGGAGCAUUAGAUAAAACUAACCUUUACUUCAUGUGUUUAUUACAUGUGUGUCAUUUUCUAUGUGGCAUCACCAAAAGCUCUCUUACACCUUAUAUUCAAACACCCUUUCUUAACUAGACUAAUUACAAAAUUUACCAUUGCUAAUUACAUUAAAACUUCUUUAUAUACUAUAAGUCUAUAAGCUUAUUGACUAACAAAAUAAUUUAUCCCAUGUCCUACUACUCUUUGAUUACAAACGUUUCCAUUUUCAAAUACGCAGAGAUUUUAUUACCAUAACCAGAGAUUCGUCAUAAUUAUCGAUUUCAAUAUGGAAAUUCGUAUAGCCUGAUUUAAAUAUUAAUGACUUUCUAUAUAGUUAAACUACAUAAAAUCCAUUGUGUACGUAUGUAUCUUCAUAUCUACUUAUAUAUGUGUUGCUAUAUCACGAAUUCGUUAUAUAUGUGUUGUCAAACACAAUGUUCAACAAUUCUUACAUAAUCGCAAAAUCUUAUAGAUAUAUACAUACACUUUUUCAAAAAAAUUACAUAAAACGAUCUAAUAUAUAGUAUUUUUAAAAGAUUUUCUUACAGCAAUAAUGGCAUUGGUGAAAAGAAAUAUAUAUUAAAACUUACAUACUACAAUAUUUUUCUACUUUCUUAAUAAUAUAAGUUUUCACCUAAACGAAGAGAUUGUCAAUCACGCAACAGUUAAUGGGACAUACGAUGAUCUCCAUGAUAUUUCAAAUCAGGAAUGUAUAAAGAUAAAUAUGACGCUAAAAGUUGAACUCAAUAAUUUUUAUACAAAAAUUGCGACGAAAAAUGAAAAGUUUCAAAAUCAGAAUUGAUUAUUGAUUUGAGAUCGAUUGAUUUUUUCAAUCAAGCUGCAAUCUUUGUUUCCUUAUAUUAAAAAUAAGAAUAAAAUGUUUUCUGAUUUUGAAAGAUCAAUUCGCAAAUGGAGUAAUAAGGCGAGUUUCAAAAUAGAAUUGUAGUGCAAGUUAUUCAGUAUUAAUUAUUGAAUAUUACAUAUAUUUAAAGCGAUUUCGAAUAAAGAUAGCAAACCCUAGACCCAAAAAAUUUUGUAUAUAAAUAUGUAGCUGAUGUUAACAUCUCCUCACCACAGUCUAUAUCUCAAAACAUUGUUACCAAAACAUUAGGUUUUUCUGAUUUUACCUAGGUGGUAACAUUGUCAUUUUACCUAGAUGAUAACCUCGUGAUUUCACGUCAUCAUUAAGUGUGUUUCUUAUGGUGUCUUUGCUCAUGUUUUUUAAGAAUUUUAUUAGUUUAUUGCUUAUAUUUCGUUUUAUCUUAUAUGUAUAUUUUAUUUUAUGAAAACAAUAAUUCUAUUGUAUGUGUUUUUUUUUCCUUCAUAAUUUAGUUUAUAUAAGUUUUUGAUUACUCUUAUAGAUUAGCUUUCAUCCGAAUCACAUACGAUUUCAUCAUUUGAUAUCUAAUCCUUCCUCAUCGUAUAUAUAAAUAGGUUGUUUUGAACACAUCUACUCAUCACAUUCUUCUUCCCAAACCUUUAUUACAAAUUUGAUCUUGCAAGCAAAACACUUAUGGUGGGUCUCAACUCAUUAUAUAAUAUGCAAUCUUGUGACUAUAAGUUUUGUAUUUCUAAUAUUUAUAGAUUAAAAGUUAUAAUCUCUUUUAAUCCAUUCACUCCGCGCAGGGCGCGGGUAUCACCUAGUCUUCUUUUAUUAAGGGUGGUCAACCUUAUUCAAUUCUUCAUACUAUGUCCCUAUCAUUCUUUUCAAUCUUUUUAAUUCGCUUCUGAAUUUUAUUUUUGAAUUUGGACAUGGUAUGUACAUCAUGAAUAUAUGUUUAGUUUGGCAUUCAACAUCAAUUGUGGUAGAGGUCGUUAAAUCGUUUUUGUUUGGUAUUGUUCUAUAUGUGACUAAUCAAAAUCUUACAUUAUCUUUGGCAGAAAUAAUAUAUAGAAUAUAUAUUUUACGAAUCAAUAUCGCCACAAAACUAUAGUUGUGGAAUAAAAAUUACAUAUUCACUUUUAGUUUUUACAUAAAUAUUAUCGGAUUCACCAUUUUUUCUACUACCCAAACGAGAGCUUGUAACGGUUAGCUUUCUAUCAAAAUGAUAAUUGCUGGCUUGUGAUUGCAUGGGAAAGGCACAAGAAACAUGAAACCACCUAUCUACGUAAAUUAUUUGAAUAAUAUUUGCCACAAUGAUCACCUAGCAUAUCAUAGAAUAUAUUUCAUCGUCUACAUAUAUCUUAGAUCUCCAAGAUAUGAUCUGAUGAGCUUCGGAUUUCUUUAAUUAGUAGAAUAAAACCUAUUGUAUAUAUUACCAAAUGAGCAGGGUCACAUGUCAUUGUGAUAUUUUUAUCUACAGAAUGGGCUGAUGGUAAUAGUUUUGUCAUAGAGCUUGCGAGUUGAGACUUUAUUUUCAGUCACUAUUGAAAGUCUAAACCAGGCGUAGAAUUUUAAUUUAGAGAAUCGUAUUGUAGUGUGAAUAUCGACAAACAAGUAAAAGUCCCAUUGAAAAGGCCCAACUAUUUACACUAUAAU
Molecule: long non-coding RNA, 6138 nt
Organism: Brassica rapa (field mustard)
Lineage: Eukaryota; Viridiplantae; Streptophyta; Magnoliopsida; Brassicales; Brassicaceae
Source: RefSeq, a predicted model, not a curated record